This 253-nucleotide non-coding RNA is filed under the name uncultured bacterium. RNAcentral's name for it is "partial 16S ribosomal RNA". It matches the Rfam family "Bacterial small subunit ribosomal RNA", at positions 524 to 776 of the family's 1533-position model. RNAcentral also lists the same sequence under 1 other name. The record is from RNAcentral.
UACGGAGGGUGCAAGCGUUAAUCGGAAUUACUGGGCGUAAAGCGUGCGUAGGCGGUUUUUUAAGUCAGAUGUGAAAGCCCUGGGCUUAACCUGGGAACUGCAUUUGAUACUGGGGAACUAGAGUUGAGUAGAGGAGAGUGGAAUUUCAGGUGUAGCGGUGAAAUGCGUAGAGAUCUGAAGGAACACCAGUGGCGAAGGCGGCUCUCUGGACUCAAACUGACGCUGAGGUACGAAAGCGUGGGUAGCAAACAGG